GACAGAGGGGGCAAGCGUUGCUCGGAAUUACUGGGCGUAAAGGGCGCGUAGGCGGAAUGGCAAGUCGGUCGUGAAAUCCUUCGGCUCAACCGAAGAACGUCGAUCGAAACUGCCGUUCUUGAGGAUUGCAGAGGAGACUGGAAUUCCCGGUGUAGCGGCGAAAUGUGUAGAGAUCGGAAGGAACAUCAGUGGCGAAAGCGACUUCCUGGACCAGUACCGACGUUCAGGCACGAAAGCGUGGGGAGCAAACAGG
This 253-nucleotide ribosomal RNA is filed under the name uncultured bacterium. Its description in RNAcentral is "partial 16S ribosomal RNA". It matches the Rfam family "Bacterial small subunit ribosomal RNA", at positions 524 to 776 of the family's 1533-position model. The record is from RNAcentral.